RNAcentral lists this ribosomal RNA (253 nucleotides) under uncultured bacterium. RNAcentral describes it as "partial 16S ribosomal RNA". It matches the Rfam family "Bacterial small subunit ribosomal RNA", at positions 524 to 776 of the family's 1533-position model. The record is from RNAcentral.
UACAGAGGUCUCAAGCGUUGUUCGGAUUCAUUGGGCGUAAAGGGUGCGUAGGCGGCGCGGUAAGUCGGGUGUGAAAUCUUGGAGCUUAACUCCGAAACUGCAUUUGAUACUGGCGUGCUUGAGGACUGGAGAGGAGACUGGAAUUCAUGGUGUAGCAGUGAAAUGCGUAGAGAUCAUGAGGAAGACCAGUGGCGAAGGCGGGUCUCUGGACAGUUCCUGACACUGAGGCACGAAAGCAUGGGGAGCAAACAGG